UACGUAGGGUGCAAGCGUUAAUCAGGAUUACUGGGCGUAAAGCGUGCGCAGGCGGUUUUGUAAGCCAGAUGUGAAAUCCCCGGGCUUAACCUGGGAAUGGCAUUUGGGACUGCAAGGCUUGAGUGCGGCAGAGGAGACUGGAAUUCCUGGUGUAGCAGUGAAAUGCGUAGAUAUCAGGAGGAAUACCGAUGGCGAAGGCAGGUCUCUGGGCUGACACUGACGCUCAUGCACGAAAGCGUGGGGAGCAAACAGG
RNAcentral lists this ribosomal RNA (253 nucleotides) under uncultured bacterium. RNAcentral describes it as "partial 16S ribosomal RNA". It matches the Rfam family "Bacterial small subunit ribosomal RNA", at positions 524 to 776 of the family's 1533-position model. The record is from RNAcentral.